CCUACGGGAGGCAGCAGUGAGGAAUAUUGGACAAUGGUCGGGAGACUGAACCAGCCAAGCCGCGUGAGGGAUGAAGGUACAGAGUAUCGUAAACCUCUUUUGUCAGGGGACAAAGGCGGGGAAGCGUCCCCGGAUGAGUGUACCUGAAGAAAAAGCAUCGGCUAACUCCGCGCCAGCAGCCGCGGUAAUAUGGAAGGCCCGAGCGUUAUCCGGAUUCAUUGUGCUGAAAGGGAGCGUCGGCGGGCGUGCAAGUCAGCUGUAAAAUCACGCGGCCCAACCUCGCCCCGCAGUUGAAACUGGACGCCUUGAGUUCACAACAGGCAGGCGGAAUUCGAGGUGUAGCGGUGAAAUGCAUAGAUAUCACGAGGAACCCCGAUUGCGAAGGCAGCCUGCCGGGGUGCGACUGACGCUGAGGCGCGAAGGUGCGGGUAUCAAACAGGAUUAGAUACCCCAGUAGUC
RNAcentral lists this ribosomal RNA (459 nucleotides) under uncultured bacterium. Its description in RNAcentral is "partial 16S ribosomal RNA". It matches the Rfam family "Bacterial small subunit ribosomal RNA", at positions 338 to 795 of the family's 1533-position model. The record is from RNAcentral.